Molecule: long non-coding RNA, 105 nt
Organism: Sander lucioperca (pikeperch)
Lineage: Eukaryota; Metazoa; Chordata; Actinopteri; Perciformes; Percidae
Exons: 3
Source: RefSeq, a predicted model, not a curated record
GGGACUUUAUUCCCACAAGUCAACACAUGAAGAAGCUCCUCACUGAGAUACGUGUUGACAUGACUCAUCAAUAGUUCAGGUCUAAUCCUUCAGGAAAUGUUUAAU